Molecule: ribosomal RNA, 1372 nt
Filed under: uncultured bacterium
Lineage: Bacteria
Description: bacterial SSU rRNA
Rfam family: Bacterial small subunit ribosomal RNA
Source: RNAcentral
GAUGAACGCUGGCGGCGUGCCUAAUACAUGCAAGUCGAGCGAACGGACGAGAAGCUUGCUUCUCUGAUGUUAGCGGCGGACGGGUGAGUAACACGUGGAUAACCUACCUAUAAGACUGGGAUAACUUCGGGAAACCGGAGCUAAUACCGGAUAAUAUUUUGAACCGCAUGGUUCAAAAGUGAAAGACGGUCUUGCUGUCACUUAUAGAUGGAUCCGCGCUGCAUUAGCUAGUUGGUAAGGUAACGGCUUACCAAGGCAACGAUGCAUAGCCGACCUGAGAGGGUGAUCGGCCACACUGGAACUGAGACACGGUCCAGACUCCUACGGGAGGCAGCAGUAGGGAAUCUUCCGCAAUGGGCGAAAGCCUGACGGAGCAACGCCGCGUGAGUGAUGAAGGUCUUCGGAUCGUAAAACUCUGUUAUUAGGGAAGAACAUAUGUGUAAGUAACUGUGCACAUCUUGACGGUACCUAAUCAGAAAGCCACGGCUAACUACGUGCCAGCAGCCGCGGUAAUACGUAGGUGGCAAGCGUUAUCCGGAAUUAUUGGGCGUAAAGCGCGCGUAGGCGGUUUUUUAAGUCUGAUGUGAAAGCCCACGGCUCAACCGUGGAGGGUCAUUGGAAACUGGAAAACUUGAGUGCAGAAGAGGAAAGUGGAAUUCCAUGUGUAGCGGUGAAAUGCGCAGAGAUAUGGAGGAACACCAGUGGCGAAGGCGACUUUCUGGUCUGUAACUGACGCUGAUGUGCGAAAGCGUGGGGAUCAAACAGGAUUAGAUACCCUGGUAGUCCACGCCGUAAACGAUGAGUGCUAAGUGUUAGGGGGUUUCCGCCCCUUAGUGCUGCAGCUAACGCAUUAAGCACUCCGCCUGGGGAGUACGACCGCAAGGUUGAAACUCAAAGGAAUUGACGGGGACCCGCACAAGCGGUGGAGCAUGUGGUUUAAUUCGAAGCAACGCGAAGAACCUUACCAAAUCUUGACAUCCUUUGACAACUCUAGAGAUAGAGCUUUCCCCUUCGGGGGACAAAGUGACAGGUGGUGCAUGGUUGUCGUCAGCUCGUGUCGUGAGAUGUUGGGUUAAGUCCCGCAACGAGCGCAACCCUUAAGCUUAGUUGCCAUCAUUAAGUUGGGCACUCUAAGUUGACUGCCGGUGACAAACCGGAGGAAGGUGGGGAUGACGUCAAAUCAUCAUGCCCCUUAUGAUUUGGGCUACACAGGUGCUACAAUGGACAAUACAAAGGGCAGCGAAACCGUGAGGUCAAGCAAAUCCCAUAAAGUUGUUCUCAGUUCGGAUUGUAGUCUGCAACUCGACUACAUGAAGCUGGAAUCGCUAGUAAUCGUAGAUCAGCAUGCUACGGUGAAUACGUUCCCGGGUCU